CCCUUCUCUGUGGCGACAUAUGGAAGGCGUCAUCGAUGAGGAACAGGCCCACGGCAGAUACUGAACCUGUCGGGGCCUGGAUCCUGGACUUCCCGGCCUCCAGAACUGUAUCUCCACGUCAAACCUUCAUGAGGCGACACCGCAAGUAGCUGCUGAGGACGUAGCGGAUCCUCUCCAUCUCCAUUUGGUGGAUGCUGACCUUCAGGUCCUCCCUUUUGGCUCUCCUGAGAUUUUCUUCCUAUUAAAUGAGAAACUAAGGUUUAUAAAAAACAUGAUGUUCAACCAUCAUCAUUGGCAACGUUGAGGACCCAGACUAUGUUUCAGUCCAAGGAAAACAAAAAUAUCAUACCAAGACAAGCGACCCUUACCAUGUGCUCCAGCUGUUCCAUGACACAUUCUACAAUCUCAGGCUUGCUCUCCAACAGCUCAGGGGCAAACUUUUCAUUCAUCCAGGCCUAAAAGACAAAUGCCAGAAAAAUCAAGCAUCAUCCACCACAGAGCUAAACAACCUUGUGAGUCAGCCCAAGUCCCACAAAAACCAGGGACAGUGCAGGCGAGAAAACUGUCUGCCCACCAACUGGAAACACUGAAGCUGUUUUGAAGACAAACUACGUUUAGCAAUUGCUUUCUCAUGUCCUGUUUUAGUUGGGAGGAUAUGUUCAUAACCUUCUAUUCAACUGACACUCACACAAACCCUUGCUUACUUCAGUUAGUAUGACGCCUGGUGCUGAAAGUGACACCACCUGGUUUUCAAACCGUGGCUUUGCCAGGCAGCCCAGGCACACUGUUACUCCACCAGCUCCUUCCUCCCAGGGAGCACCACCCCAUGUCUAUUUAGAGAGAAAGCAACAACCCACCAAUCCACACAGCUCUUCAUUCCUGAAGCUCAGAGCACUUCACAAAUGUUUUUAAUUCAUCAUCAUCAUAUCGCAGAGAAAAUGGAUAUAGUUAUCCUCAUCUGAUUGAAAAAAUACAGAUUGAGUAAUUUACUAAUGGCCCCAAAGUAUACAGGAUCAUAAUAGAAACAGGCGCUCAUCUAUUAUGGAGUUUCGGAGCCAGAGGUUAAAGCUCUAAUUUAUGACUCAGGCCCAGCUGUUUGGUUCAUUUUAGAGACUUCUAAGGCUUAGAGAACUGAAAUAUCCCUAAGUGACUGACGAAAGCUACACUUAUCUUUCAAUUACAGGAAAUGUAGUUUUAGCAUAGCUCAGAAUUAUAUGCUGACCAGGCUCAACUUAUUUUUUUCUGAUGUCCUUGAGUGUCUGCUUCUCUCCAUGAUCACCAUCAAGACACAUUACCAAAUGCUGGGCAUGGCCACUGUCAUAAGUGUUUGUGCAGAGCCUGAGCAUCUGCAACAGUUCUGCAGACUGAAACAAACAAACAAAACCUUGCAUAAUGCAUGGGAAAACAUCGUAUUUUCUGACGGGCUUAUUAGGAGCAGUAUUUCUUUUUGACUGAUUUUUAUUAAAUACUGAAUAAUUUUUAUUUAUUUAUUUUUGAGGGACAGUCUCACUCU
This is a non-coding RNA of Macaca mulatta (Rhesus monkey), 1513 nucleotides long. The record is from RefSeq and is a predicted model, not a curated record. Lineage: Eukaryota; Metazoa; Chordata; Mammalia; Primates; Cercopithecidae.